RNAcentral lists this ribosomal RNA (914 nucleotides) under archaeon enrichment culture clone C4-8C-A. RNAcentral describes it as "bacterial SSU rRNA". It matches the Rfam family "Archaeal small subunit ribosomal RNA", at positions 1 to 922 of the family's 1478-position model. The record is from RNAcentral.
UCCGGUUGAUCCCGCCGGAGGUUACUGCUAUCGAGGUUCGACUAAGCCAUGCGAGUCGAAUGUAGCAAUACAUGGCGUACUGCUCAGUAACACGUGGACAACCUACCCUCCGGACGGGUAUAAACCCGGGAAACUGGGUAUAAUCCCCGAUAGAUCUCGGUCGCUGGAAUGCCCCGAGAUCGAAAGCUCCGGCGCCAGAGGAUGGGUCUGCGGCCUAUCAGGUAGUAGUGGGUGUAGCGUACCUACUAGCCUACGACGGGUACGGGUUGUGAGAGCAAGAGCCCGGAGAUGGAUUCUGAGACACGAAUCCAGGCCCUACGGGGUGCAGCAGGCGCGAAAACUUUACAAUGCCGGCAACGGCGAUAAGGGGACCUCGAGUGCCAGGUUACAAAUCUGGCUAUCGUGAUGCCUAAAAAGCAUUGCAUAGCAAGGGCCGGGCAAGACCGGUGCCAGCCGCCGCGGUAACACCGGCGGCUCGAGUGGUAACCGUUAUUAUUGGGUCUAAAGGGUCUGUAGCCGGCCGGAUAAGUCUCUUGAGAAAUCCAGCAGCUCAACUGUUGGGCUUUCAGGAGAUACUGUUCGGCUCGAGGCCGGGAGAGGUGAGAGGUACUUCAGGGGUAGGGGUGAAAUCUUGUAAUCCUUGAAGGACCACCAGUGGCGAAGGCGUCUCACCAGAACGGACCUGACGGCAAGGGACGAAAGCUAGGGGCACGAACCGGAUUAGAUACCCGGGUAGUCCUAGCCGUAAACGAUACUCGCUAGGUGUCGGCCACGGUGCGACCGUUGUCGGUGCCGUAGGGAAGCCGUGAAGCGAGCCACCUGGGAAGUACGGCCGCAAGGCUGAAACUUAAAGGAAUUGGCGGGGGAGCACCACAACGGGUGGAGCUUGCGGUUUAAUUGGAUUCAACGCCGGG